AUUGAACGCUGGCGGCAGGCCUAACACAUGCAAGUCGAACGAGUGGCGGACGGGUGAGUAAUGUCUGGGAAACUGCCCGGUGGAGGGGGAUAACUAAUGGAAACGGUAGCUAAUACCGCAUACCAUCGGAGGUGCCCAGAUGGGAUUAGCUAGUAGGUGGGGUAACGGCUGACCUAGGCGACGAUCCCUAGCUGGUCUGAGAGGAUGACCCGCCACCAUGGAACUGAGACACGGUCCAGACUCCUACGUGAGGCAGCAGUGGGGAAUAUUGCACAAUGGGCGCAAGCCUGAUGCAGCCAUGCCGCGUGUAUGAAGAAGGCCUUCGGGUUGUAAAGUACUUUCAGCGGGGAGGCGUUACCCGCAGAAGAAGCACCGGCUAACUCCGUGCCAGCAGCCGCGGUAAUAC
This 406-nucleotide ribosomal RNA is filed under the name uncultured bacterium. Its description in RNAcentral is "partial 16S ribosomal RNA". It matches the Rfam family "Bacterial small subunit ribosomal RNA", at positions 30 to 526 of the family's 1533-position model. The record is from RNAcentral.